ACGUAGGUGGCAAGCGUUAUCCGGAAUUAUUGGGCGUAAAGCGCGCGUAGGCGGUUUUUUAAGUCUGAUGUGAAAGCCCACGGCUCAACCGUGGAGGGUCAUUGGAAACUGGAAAACUUGAGUGCAGAAGAGGAAAGUGGAAUUCCAUGUGUAGCGGUGAAAUGCGCAGAGAUAUGGAGGAACACCAGUGGCGAAGGCGACUUUCUGGUCUGUAACUGACGCU
RNAcentral lists this ribosomal RNA (223 nucleotides) under Staphylococcus epidermidis. Its description in RNAcentral is "partial 16S ribosomal RNA". It matches the Rfam family "Bacterial small subunit ribosomal RNA", at positions 525 to 747 of the family's 1533-position model. Lineage: Bacteria; Bacillati; Bacillota; Bacilli; Caryophanales; Staphylococcaceae. The record is from RNAcentral. RNAcentral also lists the same sequence under 1 other name.